GAUGAAGAACGUAGCGAAAUGCGAUAAGUAAUGUGAAUUGCAGAAUUCAGUGAAUCAUCGAAUCUUUGAACGCACAUUGCGCCCUCCGGUAUUCCGGGGGGCAUGCCUGUUCGAGCGUCAUUAUAACCACUCAAGCUCUCGCUUGGUAUUGGGGUUCGCGGUUUCGCGGCCCCUAAAAUCAGUGGCGGUGCCUGUCGGCUCUACGCGUAGUAAUACUUCUCGUGAUUGAGUUCGAUAGGUCUACUUGCCAGUAACCCCCAAUUUUUACAGGUUGACCUCGGAUCAGGUAGGGAUACCCGCUGAACUUAAGCAUAUCAAUAAGCGGAGGA
This 329-nucleotide unclassified non-coding RNA is filed under the name soil metagenome. RNAcentral's name for it is "partial contains 5.8S ribosomal RNA, internal transcribed spacer 2, and large subunit ribosomal RNA". The stretch from base 1 to 120 matches the Rfam family "5.8S ribosomal RNA", at positions 35 to 154 of the family's 154-position model. The record is from RNAcentral.